CUUAUUUAGCUCCUCUCCUCUCCUCUACUAAACAGUCCAUGGAAAAGGAAUUUGACAUGCCAUUAGAUAAUGACACCUUGAAUAAGCUUAUGAAGUGAUGGUCUGUUUUCACCAUUGGAGCAGGAAAUGAAAGGGUAUAGCAGGAUAAGAAAAUUUCCUAGAUGAAGUAUACCCUUAACUUGGAGAUAAGAUUCAUCACCAUUAAUGAUUAUCGAUUGAAAUGUUGAAUACUUGGAGACUCGAGUAUGAAGAUGGCCCCUCGUCAACUAACUUGUUACAAAGAUUUGUGUCUGAAGCUGACUCAAAAGUUGAAGUUGUGGGUUAGGCCGGGUUGGUGCUCAAAGAACGUUCUGGAAAUAGCAUCAUGGAUUCAAAUACUGCAGUAGACCAACCAACCAAAGACAGAGAAGCAACAGAAAAGAGAGUAAUACUAAUACUCACUCCUAUGAU
This is a long non-coding RNA of Cajanus cajan (pigeon pea), 450 nucleotides long. RefSeq lists it as uncharacterized. Lineage: Eukaryota; Viridiplantae; Streptophyta; Magnoliopsida; Fabales; Fabaceae. The record is from RefSeq and is a predicted model, not a curated record.